RNAcentral lists this ribosomal RNA (497 nucleotides) under uncultured bacterium. RNAcentral describes it as "partial 16S ribosomal RNA". It matches the Rfam family "Bacterial small subunit ribosomal RNA", at positions 28 to 507 of the family's 1533-position model. The record is from RNAcentral.
GACGAACGCUGGCGGCGUGCCUAAUACAUGCAAGUUGAGCGAUGAAGAUUGGUGCUUGCACCAAUUUGAAGAGCAGCGAACGGGUGAGUAACGCGUGGGGAAUCUGCCUUUGAGCGGGGGACAACAUUUGGAAACGAAUGCUAAUACCGCAUAACAACUUUAAACAUAAGUUUUAAGUUUGAAAGAUGCAAUUGCAUCACUCAAAGAUGAUCCCGCGUUGUAUUAGCUAGUUGGUGAGGUAAAGGCUCACCAAGGCGAUGAUACAUAGCCGACCUGAGAGGGUGGUCGGCCACAUUGGGACUGAGACACGGCCCAAACUCCUACGGGAGGCAGCAGUAGGGGAUCUUCGGCAAUGGACGAAAGUCUGGCCGAGCAACGCCGCGUGAGUGAAGAAGGGUUUCGGAUCGUAAAACUCUGUUGGUAGAGAAGAACGUUGGUGAGAGUGGAAAGCUCAUCAAGUGACGGUAACUACCCAGAAAGGGACGGCUAACUACGUG